UUUGGCUUCUCCCCCGGUCACCCUAUACUGACAC
This 34-nucleotide small RNA is filed under the name Sinorhizobium meliloti 2011. Its description in RNAcentral is "putative ncRNA". Lineage: Bacteria; Pseudomonadati; Pseudomonadota; Alphaproteobacteria; Hyphomicrobiales; Rhizobiaceae. The record is from RNAcentral.